CCGAACGUUUUUCGUGGUCGCCCCCUUUAGAGUCGUCACUGAACGUUUUUCGUGGUCGCACCCAUAGAGUCGUGACUGAACGUUUUUCGUGGUCGCCCCUUUAGAGUCGUGACUGAACCUUUUUCGUGGUCAUACCCCCAAUAGCUGUGACGGAACGUUUUUCCUGGGUAUACUCCUUACUUUCUUUGUGUUCACACAUUUUAGAUUCGUAACUGAACGUUUUUCAUGGUCACACCCAUAGAGCUCAGACGGCACGUUUUUCGUGGUCACGCCCUUUAAAGUCACGUUUUUCAUGGGUGGUCACACCCUUUAGAGUUAUGGCUGAACGUUUUUAGUUGUCACACCCUUUAGAGUCGUGACAGCACGUUAUUCUUGGUCACACCCAUGGAGCCGUGACUGAAAGUUUUCGUGGUCACGCCCGUAGAGUUGUGCCUGAACGUCUUUCGUGGUCACACCCUUUAGAUUCGUAACCGAACGUUAUUCUUGGUCACACCCAUAGAGUCGUGCCGAACGUUAUUCUUGGUCACACCCAUAGAGUCGUGACUGAACGUUUUUCUUGGUCACACCCUUUAGAUUCGUAACUGAACGUUUUUCGUGGUCACACCAGUUAGAAUCGUGACGUGACGAACUCAACAUAUUAAACACUAGCGUAUAAGCCCGUCUCCCACCGGGCGACGGGCUUAUUUGAUUUCGUGAAAAUUAAGUGGUAUUUCAUAAUUCCACCGAAUGAUUUUUGUUUUCUACCUAUAUUAUUAGCUGGUAAUGUCGGUUGGCAACGGAAGUGAAACUUUCACCACUUUCACUUCCGUCACGGAAAAUUACUUUCACUUCCGUUGCAGACAAACAUUUCCAGCUUAUAAUAUAGAUGGCGCUAUACAACGUGACAAUCAAGUUCACGCUCCUUUGCUCUGUGUGAAUAUAAAUGUUUAACAAUUAUUCAGCAGGCAUUUGUAUCGCAAAAACUAAAUAAAAUGUUUUUACUUAGAGCCCGCAUUGCGGGCUUAAGAGACUAGUAUAAUUUAAAGUGGUUGAAAUUAUAGUCGAAAAAAUAAUUACAGUUGUAGAGUUACAAAUUUUGUAAUCAAAUUUUGUAAAGUGUAGGAUUUAAACGACUUUGCAACUUUUUUUAUGUAUAAUUAAACUAUUGAAGAGUAACUCUUAUUCCUCUUGAAUUAAUCGAUACGCAAAUUCUGGAAAAUGUUAACAUAGGUAACUUCCAAAGUUUUUGCAUGUUCGAAACAGUUCAUAAGUUUUUUAGGUUUUCUGAAUGAAAUUUUUCGUAAAAAGGGGUGUAAUUUUUUUCCCCAAAAAAUUACGAAGAAACUCGAAUUUUUUUUAUUUGCGAAGAUUGCUGAUUUCGAAAACCAUUUAUUUAUCAAAUAAGUUGUGAUGCGAAACGAUACGUGUACAUCAGUACUACUUGAAACUGAGGAAGGUUUAUAAUGGAAAUAAAUAUUAGGUCCUCUCAAAGCUCUAAAAAAAGAGCAGAUUUUUCUGCUCAUCGCUCAUUCUGAUCUUUUGUGCUCGGCUGUGCGCAUGCGAUUUCGCUCAAAAUCAGAUUUUCUUGCUCAACAAAAAAAUCGAGUUUUGGGUUGAUUUUUUCUCUCAUAAUCCUGCUCAUUCUGCUCCACAUCAGCAAAUCAGUUGUUUGUUUACUUCAAUUUUUGGUUUAAAACUUAAGUAAAGUUUUGUAAAACAUAUUAUUUAUCAUUAUGGGUCCCAAGACCAAGGUUAAGAGUACCAGUGUCGAAAAUGUUGUAAAUCCCGUAAUUUGUCGUAACAAGUGGAGGUAGGCGGCCGAAAAACAUUUCGCUGGACACCACAAAUAAAAAUUGACAUGACACAUUAUGUCGUCGACAAUAACACCGCAUUUAAGGUGACCAACCGCACUGAAUUCCUUGGUCGUCUCCAAGAUGCUUUGGCCCUUAACUGCGAAGAAAGUCAAAUAAAAAUGGAUUUGGCAGAUUUCUUAAAACGUACACAAAGACUAAAGAGAAGUUAAACCAGUCGGGUUUUGGGAUUGACCCUCAGAAAGACGAAACUCUGGACAAAAGUGCGGUCAUUUCCAUCCAUUACAUGAAAUCAAAUGAUUUUCAAUGCGAUAAAAUUACGAUUCAGCGAAGCCACUGGAACUCAAAAUUCAAUUGGAAACUAUUAAAUCUAAAUUUUAGAUAUUUGACUUAUAAAAUUGUUUAUUGCUGCUACAUAAAAUAAAUUAUUUGAGAUAAU
Molecule: long non-coding RNA, 2229 nt
Organism: Folsomia candida
Lineage: Eukaryota; Metazoa; Arthropoda; Collembola; Entomobryomorpha; Isotomidae
Exons: 2
Source: RefSeq, a predicted model, not a curated record